This 568-nucleotide ribosomal RNA is filed under the name Shewanella sp. Its description in RNAcentral is "bacterial SSU rRNA". It matches the Rfam family "Bacterial small subunit ribosomal RNA", at positions 362 to 923 of the family's 1533-position model. Lineage: Bacteria; Pseudomonadati; Pseudomonadota; Gammaproteobacteria; Alteromonadales; Shewanellaceae. The record is from RNAcentral.
UAUUGCACAAUGGGGGAACCCUGAUGCAGCCAUGCCGCGUGUGUGAAGAAGGCCUUCGGGUUGUAAAGCACUUUCAGUAGGGAGGAAAGGUAGCGUGUUAAUAGCACGUUACUGUGACGUUACCUACAGAAGAAGGACCGGCUAACUCCGUGCCAGCAGCCGCGGUAAUACGGAGGGUCCGAGCGUUAAUCGGAAUUACUGGGCGUAAAGCGUGCGCAGGCGGUUUGUUAAGCCAGAUGUGAAAUCCCCGGGCUCAACCUGGGAAUUGCAUUUGGAACUGGCGAACUAGAGUCUUGUAGAGGGGGGUAGAAUUCCAGGUGUAGCGGUGAAAUGCGUAGAUAUCUGGAGGAAUACCGGUGGCGAAGGCGGCCCCCUGGACAAAGACUGACGCUCAUGCACGAAAGCGUGGGGAGCAAACAGGAUUAGAUACCCUGGUAGUCCACGCCGUAAACGAUGUCUACUCGGAGUUUGGUGACUUAGUCACUGGGCUCCCAAGCUAACGCAUUAAGUAGACCGCCUGGGGAGUACGGCCGCAAGGUUAAAACUCAAAUGAAUUGACGGGGCCCGG